UAUCACUCUUUGUUACUGGCAGUAAGAAGGGCAAGUGUGCUAAAGGAGCUACCAGAGCAAACGCUAAAAGAAGAACCACUGGCCAUCAGUUGGUUGAAUCCUAGGAUGCAGAACAUAUGGACGCGGAGGACAGACUGUAAUUACCAUCAGGGAAUCAAACUCAUCAUCAGUUGGAAUCACAAAGUAUGCAUAUUCUCAGACCCCAUCUUCAGUUUAAUAAUGGUCUCCAGCACGAGGGGCACAUGAGACUGUGAGGAGACAGGGAUGACCCUAAAAGGCCAACUCUGUGGAGACUGCCCUGGACUGGUUAAAAGUGCUCUGCCCAAGCACACAGGCCUCCGUUCCAGAUGCUCUUACUGGAUGUGGGGCUGAAU
Molecule: long non-coding RNA, 374 nt
Organism: Camelus dromedarius (Arabian camel)
Lineage: Eukaryota; Metazoa; Chordata; Mammalia; Artiodactyla; Camelidae
Exons: 3
Source: RefSeq, a predicted model, not a curated record